This 401-nucleotide long non-coding RNA is filed under the name Helianthus annuus (common sunflower). Its description in RNAcentral is "hypothetical non coding rna". Lineage: Eukaryota; Viridiplantae; Streptophyta; Magnoliopsida; Asterales; Asteraceae. The record is from RNAcentral.
GUCCACCCAUUUCUUUCUUCAUCUCCACCACACCACCUGCAACAAUACCACCACAUUGUCGGCGGCCACUCCCUCAACAUACAGAGGUAUCCCACCGACAAGACACCACCACUGUAUCCCCACUCAUCUUCAUCUCUGUCCCGAUGUUAUAGAUUUGGGAUUUUCAGUGGCGAUAUGGAUUUACAGAUCUGGAAGGGUGAAAGCUAUGGCGUAUGAGGGAGUGAAUUGUGUGUGUGUGUGGGGGGGGGGAUUUUAAAGGAGUACAGAUGUUACGGAUCAUGUUCUUGUUCUUCAUGUUCUAGAUAUGUUUAUUUUUUUUCUUUUUAGGUAUUCGUUUCAAUCAUAUGCCUACGGUUCAUUUGUUUGUUGAAUGGUUGAUGGUGGUGAUUUGGUUGUUGUGA